UACGUAGGGAGCGAGCGUUGUCCGGAUUUAUUGGGCGUAAAGAGCUCGUAGGUGGUUCGGUAAGUCGGAUGUGAAAUCUCCAGGCUCAACCUGGAGGGGUCAUUCGAUACUGCCGUGACUAGAGGUCGGUAGGGGAGUGUGGAAUUCCUGGUGGAGCGGUGAAAUGCGCAGAUAUCAGGAGGAACACCCGUAGCGAAGGCGGCACUCUGGGCCGAUACUGACACUGAGGAGCGAAAGCGUGGGGAGCGAACAGG
RNAcentral lists this ribosomal RNA (254 nucleotides) under uncultured bacterium. RNAcentral's name for it is "partial 16S ribosomal RNA". It matches the Rfam family "Bacterial small subunit ribosomal RNA", at positions 524 to 776 of the family's 1533-position model. The record is from RNAcentral.